GUGGCGGACGGGUGAGUAACACGUGGGAACGUGCCUUUAGGUUCGGAAUAACUCAGGGAAACUUGUGCUAAUACCGAAUGUGCCCUUCGGGGGAAAGAUUUAUCGCCUUUAGAGCGGCCCGCGUCUGAUUAGCUAGUUGGUGAGGUAAAGGCUCACCAAGGCGACGAUCAGUAGCUGGUCUGAGAGGAUGAUCAGCCACAUUGGGACUGAGACACGGCCCAAACUCCUACGGGAGGCAGCAGUGGGGAAUCUUGCGCAAUGGGCGAAAGCCUGACGCAGCCAUGCCGCGUGAAUGAUGAAGGUCUUAGGAUUGUAAAAUUCUUUCACCGGGGACGAUAAUGACGGUACCCGGAGAAGAAGCCCCGGCUAACUUCGUGCCAGCAGCCGCGGUAAUACGAAGGGGGCUAGCGUUGCUCGGAAUUACUGGGCGUAAAGGGAGCGUAGGCGGACAUUUAAGUCAGGGGUGAAAUCCCGGGGCUCAACCUCGGAAUUGCCUUUGAUACUGGGUGUCUUGAGUGUGAGAGAGGUAUGUGGAACUCCGAGUGUAGAGGUGAAAUUCGUAGAUAUUCGGAAGAACACCAGUGGCGAAGGCGACAUACUGGCUCAUUACUGACGCUGAGGCUCGAAAGCGUGGGGAGCAAACAGGAUUAGAUACCCUGGUAGUCCAC
RNAcentral lists this ribosomal RNA (668 nucleotides) under uncultured Caulobacteraceae bacterium. Its description in RNAcentral is "bacterial SSU rRNA". It matches the Rfam family "Bacterial small subunit ribosomal RNA", at positions 95 to 798 of the family's 1533-position model. Lineage: Bacteria; Pseudomonadati; Pseudomonadota; Alphaproteobacteria; Caulobacterales; Caulobacteraceae. The record is from RNAcentral.